AACGUAGGUCACAAGCGUUGUCCGGAAUUACUGGGUGUAAAGGGAGCGCAGGCGGGCGAUCAAGUUGGAAGUGAAAUCCAUGGGCUCAACCCAUGAACUGCUUUCAAAACUGGUCGUCUUGAGUAGUGCAGAGGUAGGCGGAAUUCCCGGUGUAGCGGUGGAAUGCGUAGAUAUCGGGAGGAACACCAGUGGCGAAGGCGGCCUACUGGGCACCAACUGACGCUGAGGCUCGAAAGUGUGGGUAGCAAACA
This 251-nucleotide ribosomal RNA is filed under the name uncultured bacterium. RNAcentral's name for it is "partial 16S ribosomal RNA". It matches the Rfam family "Bacterial small subunit ribosomal RNA", at positions 524 to 774 of the family's 1533-position model. The record is from RNAcentral.